Molecule: ribosomal RNA, 556 nt
Filed under: uncultured bacterium
Lineage: Bacteria
Description: bacterial SSU rRNA
Rfam family: Bacterial small subunit ribosomal RNA
Source: RNAcentral
UUCAGGCCUAACACAUGCAAGUCGAACGAAGGCCCGCAGUUUGCUCCGGUGUCCUUAGUGGCGGACGGGUGAGUAACACGUGGGAAUUUGCCCUUCGGUACGGAACAACUCGCGGAAACGGGAGCUAAUACCGUAUACGCCCUACGGGGGAAAGAUUUAUCGCCGAAGGAUGAGCCCGCGUCGGAUUAGCUAGUUGGUGAGGUAACGGCUCACCAAGGCGACGAUCCGUAGCUGGUUUGAGAGGACGAUCAGCCACACUGGGACUGAGACACGGCCCAGACUCCUACGGGAGGCAGCAGUGGGGAAUAUUGGACAAUGGGGGCAACCCUGAUCCAGCCAUGCCGCGUGAGUGAUGAAGGCCUUAGGGUUGUAAAGCUCUUUCAGCGGGGAAGAUGAUGACGGUACCCGCAGAAGAAGCCCCGGCUAACUCCGUGCCAGCAGCCGCGGUAAUACGGAGGGGGCAAGCGUUGUUCGGAAUUACUGGGCGUAAAGCGCGCGUAGGCGGUGCAUCUAGUCAGACGUGAAAUCCCUGGGCUCAUCCCAGGAAUUGCGUUUG